GCCUUCCUGGUGUAGUGGUCAGCACUCUCGACGCGUAACCGAGAGGUCCGUGGUUCAAUUCCCUGCGAAAGGCG
Stegodyphus mimosarum is the source of this 74-nucleotide non-coding RNA. Lineage: Eukaryota; Metazoa; Arthropoda; Arachnida; Araneae; Eresidae. The record is from Rfam.